Acinonyx jubatus (cheetah) is the source of this 321-nucleotide long non-coding RNA. RefSeq lists it as uncharacterized. Lineage: Eukaryota; Metazoa; Chordata; Mammalia; Carnivora; Felidae. The transcript has 4 exons. The record is from RefSeq and is a predicted model, not a curated record.
CCUGCACAAAAUGGCCGCCACCCCUCCGAGGCAGCCAUUUUAGGUGCCCAGACUGUGGCCUCCCUUGGGAUGGGGCUAUGUCUCCAUGGGAACCUCAGACCCUCAGCUCCCAGCUCCCUCCAUGGGGGUGGGCAGCAGAAAUGGGAGUCUUCCAGGCCUGGCUGAGGAAGAAAAGACAGGGGCAGGAAACAGACCAAGAGGGAUGAAGUUCCCCAUGCCCUCAGAUGCGGACAUCAAGACUGAGAGACCUUAUGCAACUUGCUCAAGGCAUUCAGCAUUCUUUGAAGCUAGGUGAGGAACAGAGGUGUGUGCGUCUGUGUG